GAAUGGCAAAGGACCAAGAAAAGGCUCGCCGCUUUCCACGGUGAGUGGAUUGCCGUUAUGGGAGUGUAUCAUAGUGGUCACAAUAGUCAUGACCUGCAAAAAAUGGCGUUGGAGAAGUAUGAACGGAACUAUCACCAGCCUUUCCAACAUUUAACUAUGUGGGAAAAAAUCAAGGAUGAUUCAAAAUGGCUAGCCUCUUAUAAACAUGAUGGCAAAAAAGGAAACAUGACAGAGACCGAUCUCCCAUCAAAUAUGAUCAACUUGGAGGCCGAAGAGCGCCCAAAAGCUGGUCGUGAUAAGGCUAAGGCUGAACGUGCUGGUAAAGGAAAGUCGGGAGGGAUCUCACAAGAGCUUGGAGAAAGGCUAGACAAGUUCAUCGAGGUUAACAAUCAAUCGAAGGAGGAGCGCCAAAAGGUGAUAGACAGCCAGGUUCUUUUAUCAAAUCAACAGCUUGAAACCGCAAAGAUCAACAGCAAGACAAAAAUGUUGGAUGUUUACUCCAAAAUGCUUUUAGCGGACACAUCUAAAAUGGAUGAUGCUGAAAAGGCUCGGCGUGCUAAGGCUUUGAGCAGAAUGGAGGCCAUAUUAUUUCCUGAAGAAGCUUCAGGUAUUGUUAAUUCCCAAGCACAUGUACUCAUUUCAAGCAUCUCCAAGCAACUACUAACUAUUUCAUUGUUUGUCUCUCGAUCGGUUAAUUUUUGUUGUGAACCUGAGUAG
RNAcentral lists this ribosomal RNA (717 nucleotides) under Triticum aestivum (bread wheat). RNAcentral describes it as "partial small subunit ribosomal RNA". Lineage: Eukaryota; Viridiplantae; Streptophyta; Magnoliopsida; Poales; Poaceae. The record is from RNAcentral.